CACUAAGAAGCUAAAUAGGAAAGCGUUAGCCUUUUAAGCUAAAGACUGGUGACCCCAACCACCCUUAGUGA
This 71-nucleotide transfer RNA is filed under the name Pythonichthys microphthalmus. RNAcentral describes it as "tRNA-Lys". It matches the Rfam family "tRNA". From Rfam's summary of the family: Transfer RNA (tRNA) molecules are approximately 80 nucleotides in length. Their secondary structure includes four short double-helical elements and three loops (D, anti-codon, and T loops). Further hydrogen bonds mediate the characteristic L-shaped molecular structure. tRNAs have two regions of fundamental functional importance: the anti-codon, which is responsible for specific mRNA codon recognition, and the 3' end, to which the tRNAs corresponding amino acid is attached (by aminoacyl-tRNA synthetases). tRNAs cope with the degeneracy of the genetic code in two manners: having more than one tRNA (with a specific anti-codon) for a particular amino acid; and 'wobble' base-pairing, i.e. permitting non-standard base-pairing at the 3rd anti-codon position. Lineage: Eukaryota; Metazoa; Chordata; Actinopteri; Anguilliformes; Heterenchelyidae. The record is from RNAcentral.